RNAcentral lists this ribosomal RNA (368 nucleotides) under uncultured organism. RNAcentral's name for it is "bacterial SSU rRNA". It matches the Rfam family "Bacterial small subunit ribosomal RNA", at positions 526 to 896 of the family's 1533-position model. The record is from RNAcentral.
CGUAGGUGGCAAGCGUUGUCCGGAUUUAUUGGGUUUAAAGGGUGCGUAGGCGGCUCCUUAAGUCAGUGCUGAAAUACUCUAGCUUAACUAGAGGGGUGGCAUUGAUACUGAGGAGCUUGAGUGUAGUCGAGGUAGGCGGAAUUGACGGUGUAGCGGUGAAAUGCUUAGAUAUCGUCAAGAACACCGAUAGUGUAGACAGCUUACUAGGCUACAACUGACGCUGAGGCACGAAAGUGUGGGGAUCAAACAGGAUUAGAUACCCUGGUAGUCCACACUGUAAACGUUGAUUACUCGCUGUUGGCGAUACACAGUCAGCGGCUUAGCGCAAGCGAUAAGUAAUCCACCUGGGGAGUACGCCGGCAACGGUG